GUUAGGAAUAUUGGACAAUGGGCGAAAGCCUGAUCCAGCCAUGCCGCGUGAACGAUGAAGGCCUUCGGGUUGUAAAGUUCUUUAGCCGAUGAUUAUAAUGACUGUAGUCGGAAAAUAAGCCCCGGCUAACUUCGUGCCAGCAGCCGCGGUAAUACGAAGGGGGCGAGCGUUAUUCGGAAUCACUGGGCGUAAAGCGUGCGUAGGCGGUUUUGUAAGUUAGGAGUGGAUGCCCAGGGCUCAACCUUGGAAUUGCUCUUAAAACUGCAAGGCUCGAAUCUCGGAGAGGAUAGCGGAAUUUCCAGUGUAGCAGUGAAAUGCGUAGAUAUUGGAAGGAACACCAGUGGCGUAAGCGGCUAUCUGGACGAGUAUUGACGCUGAGGCACGAAAGCGUGGGGAUCAAACAGGAUUAGAAACCCGGGUAGUCC
This 425-nucleotide ribosomal RNA is filed under the name uncultured bacterium. RNAcentral describes it as "partial 16S ribosomal RNA". It matches the Rfam family "Bacterial small subunit ribosomal RNA", at positions 354 to 796 of the family's 1533-position model. The record is from RNAcentral.